This 253-nucleotide long non-coding RNA is filed under the name Pan troglodytes (chimpanzee). RNAcentral describes it as "long non-coding RNA NONPTRT014073". Lineage: Eukaryota; Metazoa; Chordata; Mammalia; Primates; Hominidae. The record is from RNAcentral.
UCAUUGUAAGGAAUUCUUAACUUUGAUAUAAUUAAAUGUUUUUCGCUUUGUGUCUUAAAUUUUUAUUUAGGUUCUUCCCUAUUCCCAGACCACAGAGGUUUUCACUUUGAUUUUCUUUUCUUUUCCUUUUUUUUUUUUUUUUUUUUUUCAUAUAAUAGCCUACUUUUCUGAAUAUUAUACAAUCUUGCUGAGAUUUUUAUAUGGUUUCCUAUUGUUGUCUAGAAAUAUAUAUAUUUUUUGCAAUCUUUAUUUU